RNAcentral lists this transfer RNA (66 nucleotides) under Calvisia medogensis. RNAcentral describes it as "tRNA-Asn". Lineage: Eukaryota; Metazoa; Arthropoda; Insecta; Phasmatodea; Lonchodidae. The record is from RNAcentral.
UUAACUAAAACCAAAUUAGAGGUAUAUCAUUGUUAAUGAUAAUAUUGAAUAUUAAUUCUAGUUAAG